RNAcentral lists this non-coding RNA (22 nucleotides) under Arabidopsis thaliana (thale cress). Lineage: Eukaryota; Viridiplantae; Streptophyta; Magnoliopsida; Brassicales; Brassicaceae. The record is from RNAcentral.
CGUGAUUUCAUGCUCACCCAUC